GAAUUCGCCCUUAGAGUUUGAUCCUGGCUCAGGACGAACGCUGGCGGCGCGCCUAACACAUGCAAGUCGAACGAGCGAGAGGAGGUUUACUUUCUCAAGCGAGUGGCGAACGGGUGAGUAACGCGUGAGGAACCUGCCUCAAAGAGGGGGACAACAGUUGGAAACGACUGCUAAUACCGCAUAAGCCCACGACCCGGCAUCGGGUAGAGGGAAAAGGAGCAAUCCGCUUUGAGAUGGCCUCGCGUCCGAUUAGCUAGUUGGUGAGGUAAUGGCCCACCAAGGCGACGAUCGGUAGCCGGACUGAGAGGUUGAACGGCCACAUUGGGACUGAGACACGGCCCAGACUCCUACGGGAGGCAGCAGUGGGGAAUAUUGCACAAUGGGGGAAACCCUGAUGCAGCGACGCCGCGUGGAGGAAGAAGGUCUUCGGAUUGUAAACUCCUGUUGUUGAGGAAGAUAAUGACGGUACUCAACAAGGAAGUGACGGCUAACUACGUGCCAGCAGCCGCGGUAAAACGUAGGUCACAAGCGUUGUCCGGAAUUACUGGGUGUAAAGGGAGCGCAGGCGGGAAGACAAGUUGGAAGUGAAAUCCAUGGGCUCAACCCAUGAACUGCUUUCAAAACUGUUUUUCUUGAGUAGUGCAGAGGUAGGCGGAAUUCCCGGUGUAGCGGUGGAAUGCGUAGAUAUCGGGAGGAACACCAGUGGCGAAGGCGGCCUACUGGGCACCAACUGACGCUGAGGCUCGAAAGUGUGGGUAGCAAACAGAAAGAGAUACCCUGGUAGUCCACACUGUAAACGA
Molecule: ribosomal RNA, 800 nt
Filed under: uncultured bacterium
Lineage: Bacteria
Description: bacterial SSU rRNA
Rfam family: Bacterial small subunit ribosomal RNA
Source: RNAcentral